CCGUGCUAGGCGGGGAGCCAGCGGUGCCCUGUACCUGCAAUCCGCUUUAGCAGGGUUUAAUUCCGGCUUUGAGGCCUUCGUCUGGUAGGACUGCCCGAGUUAAGUGGCGUUGAAGGCCUGGUCCUACGCGGCAGAGCUCUAUGAACCCCGUCAGGUCCGAAAGGAAGCAGCGGUAAAUAGUUGUCUCUGGGUGCCGUAGGGUCGCCGGGCUGGAGCCGGCUGGCCCGGGUAAGCUGUUAGGCAAGGUCGAAGAGUCGGUGCACGG
Molecule: signal recognition particle RNA, 265 nt
Filed under: Dehalococcoidales bacterium
Lineage: Bacteria; Bacillati; Chloroflexota; Dehalococcoidia; Dehalococcoidales
Description: signal recognition particle sRNA large type
Rfam family: Bacterial large signal recognition particle RNA
About the family: The signal recognition particle (SRP) is a universally conserved ribonucleoprotein involved in the co-translational targeting of proteins to membranes.
Source: RNAcentral